This is a long non-coding RNA of Hemicordylus capensis (graceful crag lizard), 1008 nucleotides long. RefSeq lists it as uncharacterized. The record is from RefSeq and is a predicted model, not a curated record. NCBI's taxonomy places the organism in Eukaryota, Metazoa, Chordata, Lepidosauria, Squamata, Cordylidae. The transcript has 4 exons.
CUUAAUGGAGGCAGCUGCAAACUUGAGGUCCAAGCAGCAAGCCUCAAUUCAAACCAAGAGUUCGAAUUGGAGUUUGGGGAUAAAGAUGAACAUUUAGAAUGAUUGUUGCUUCAGCACUUUGGGCAAAAAGCCCUAUGAAGCUGAGAAGGACUCCUGCCUACAACCUUGGAGAAGCGGUUGCCAGUCUGUGUAGACAAUAUUGAGCUAGAUGGACCAAUGGUCUGACUUGGUAGAAGGCAGCUUCCUAUGUUCCAUCUGUAGCUAACUAUGAAUCCCAAAUAUAUCCCUGAAGACACAUUCCUCAGCUCUUAGGGACAUUUUUUCAGAAGUCACCAUCAGCAGAGGGAAGAGAAACUGAAGAAAAGCAACAAAUAACAAAGAACCUGGUGGGGCCGUAAAUACUGACACAUCUAUUGCAUGGUUUUCCCUGAAGUGGCUACAUCUGGAAAGCUUCACAUGGCAUGAAUGGAGGCAAGCACUACUUUAGCAAUAGGAAAUGUUUCAAGGAGUUAUCUGGAUCACAGAUACUGUAAGAAUCUAUAAGAAGCAGUUAAGUCAGCAAAUCACAAUUCCAGUAAGACAGAAUCAACCUGGGCUUAACAUUGACUAAAAUGAACUUACGACUGAAUCAUUUUCCUGUCCUCCUUCACUGGCCUACAUACCUAGGUAAGUAUUCAUUUCCCUGAUGCACAAAAUAAUUAUUAUGCCACAUUUAAUUUUCAAUACUCAGUAUAAGAAUUGAGAGGGGGAAAGUAACACAGAAGAGAUUCUACCUUUGACCACCCUUACUUAUAAGCUGUUAGAUGCUGCCAGAGAAUUUAGCAACACACUGUGAUGCAAAGCAAUUCUUAGUAUAUUAUUUAAGGAAACAUACUGGCCCCAGGUUUUUUCUACUUAUUUGGAAUGCAGAUUAAUGACUAUAUUAUUUUGAACAAAGAUUCAAAGCAAAAAUUAAUGACAUUUAGAGUGUGAAAUAACGUUUCUGCUGUUAAUAAAUCAUCAUCAUCA